CCUACCAUGCACAGAAAGGAAAAAUUUGGUGUCCAGGGCCUUCUGAAUCAGACCUGGAAAAGCUCUUAAUUAGCUUAUGGAUUCAGGAAACUGCGGAUAGAGUCACUGAAGAGGUUGAGACAGUAGAGGUGUGAAAGAGGAACAGUACAGAAAUGUGGGACUGAACUUGGCUGCUCCAUUCAGAUGGUCCAGGGGUUUAGAGUGUCAAGAGCCAAGGGCAAAAAAGAAGGAGAAGUCUGGAGUUGGCAUAAUUCAAGAUGCAGCCAAAUGUGGAACUAAGGUGGGUUCAGUGGGGACCAGGGAAGGCCUCAUGGCCCCAGUCCACAAUUGUGCCCCAACCCCGGCAAUGAAACUCACGCAUAUGCACAAACGCACAUCAACAAACACACAAAAACACACAGAGCAAAUA
RNAcentral lists this long non-coding RNA (409 nucleotides) under Homo sapiens (human). RNAcentral's name for it is "HSALNT0188892". Lineage: Eukaryota; Metazoa; Chordata; Mammalia; Primates; Hominidae. The record is from RNAcentral.